RNAcentral lists this unclassified non-coding RNA (416 nucleotides) under Bombus terrestris (buff-tailed bumblebee). RNAcentral describes it as "misc RNA ENSBTSG00005038527.1". The record is from RNAcentral. Lineage: Eukaryota; Metazoa; Arthropoda; Insecta; Hymenoptera; Apidae.
UGAGUUUUUCAUCGUUUCGUUGGUAAUCUGAGUUAAAAGGAAAGUAAUUUUGUCAGGUAUUUUGCACAAGAACCGUGUAAGGCAAGAAAGUGGUUGGUUGGACAGUUCGCGAGUGUUUCCUACGGCAAGAGGAUAGAAAAAGGCAGAGAAAAGAACACGUCAUCUGGUAACGUGGCGAAGAGAAAGAGAAGAGAGCUGGCAGAGCGAGUAACCGACUCUUCGACGUUCCUGUUCUUCACAGACACGAUCUCAUUCGCCUCAACCGUUCGACAAAUGGACGAGGAAAACAGAGAGAAAGGGCAAACGUCUGUUGAAAAAUGUGAAACUCGUGUUCACCACGGAAAUCCCUCCGCGCGUCUCAAAUUCGUCGAAUCGCGAAACUUCCUUUUGGCGUGCUUCGCUCAAAAUGCUUCGAU